RNAcentral lists this ribosomal RNA (447 nucleotides) under uncultured Treponema sp. RNAcentral describes it as "bacterial SSU rRNA". It matches the Rfam family "Bacterial small subunit ribosomal RNA", at positions 355 to 794 of the family's 1533-position model. The record is from RNAcentral. Lineage: Bacteria; Pseudomonadati; Spirochaetota; Spirochaetia; Treponematales; Treponemataceae.
CUAAGAAUAUUCCGCAAUGGGGGGAAACCCUGACGGAGCAACGCCGCGUGGACGAUGAAGGCCGGAAGGUUGUAAAGUCCUUUUAUUAUUGAGGAAUAAGCAGGAGAGGGAAUGCUCCUGCGGUGACUGUAGGUAAUGAAUAAGCACCGGCUAAUUACGUGCCAGCAGCCGCGGUAAUACGUAAGGUGCGAGCGUUAUUCGGAAUUAUUGGGCGUAAAGGGCAUGUAGGCGGAACGGCAAGCUUGGUGUGAAAUGCCGGGGCUCAACCCCGGAACUGCAUUGAGAACUGCCGAACUUGAGUCAGCGAGGGGAACCGGAAUUCCAAGUGUAGGGGUGAAAUCUGUAGAUAUUUGGAAGAACACCAAUGGCGAAGGCAGGUUUCUAGCGUAUGACUGACGCUGAGGUGCGAAGGUGCGGGGAUCAAACAGGAUUAGAUACCCUGGUAGU